Pogona vitticeps (central bearded dragon) is the source of this 2231-nucleotide long non-coding RNA. Lineage: Eukaryota; Metazoa; Chordata; Lepidosauria; Squamata; Agamidae. The record is from Ensembl.
GGGUUGCGGGCUCCGGGAGGAGCCUUGGGGGAGGAGGAGGAGGAGGAAGGCGAGGAAGAGAACCUUCCAGCGGGUACCAGUGCGCCGUGUGGCCGCUUACCUCCCGAGGGGGGGGGGAAGGGCUGCCUUUCUCUCAGCUUUCCGGCUACUACUACCGCACCGCUGCGGUUUUUGGCUGCUCGGAGGUUUUGCUGGGGAGGAGAGUUCUCUCCCUUCUUCGCGCCCUUUCGCUCGGGCCACUCGGUUCCUUCUCUCCUCCUCCUGGGCAGCAUCCACGGAGGGUGGGAAGAAAAGGGUCCCUGUUGCGUGGAAGAAGGAUCUCCCACAGAAAGCCCAAGGACCAGGUUACAGAAGAAAUCAAAAGAUUAUAAAUUAUUUUCAUGGAUACAGGCAAGGAGACAAUGGUACUUCAACCUGUGCUUCAAUCUGUGCAAGCUCCUUGAAGAGAAAAUCUGCAGUGGAGGCAUCAUGAAAUACUCGUCUUAUACAGAAGAACAUACUUCAGCUCAAACAACAGGCAGGAUUAUUCAAACCCAUUGGAACAGAAGUCAAUGCAUUGACCUCUACAGCUUGCUACAAAUGGCAGAUAAACGUCUUUGGCACUCCAGCUAUAAGGAUUCAGCAGGAAAACAGCUUCUGCAAUCAAGGAUGGACGAAAAUGUGUACCCAACAAGUAAGCAAGAAAAGGCUCUUGGAGUAGGAUUUCUUCAAAUGGCUCACGUUCCACCCCACCCUACCCCUACCCCUGCCAUAUACGUUGACUCUGCUCUACUGAGCAGUGUUUCCUCUCUCCCCACCCCCAAAUAAUAAUAAUGUGGAUAUUUUGGGGAAAAUGUGGACAUUUGGGGGGAAAGGAAGUCUUUUUGGUCCUGAGUCCUGCCCUCUCUGAGAAAAUAAUGGCAGUGAGAAAUACAGCCAUCUGACAGUUCACUGUAACUAUGGAUAUUCACAUUUGAAAACUCAGCAUCACUUUUUCUAUUCAGAAUGAAAGUCUUGUCACAUAGAGCAGAACACUCAAGCAUUGGAGUCAGAGACCCAUGAUUCCUCUCCUACAUAUGCACAUGCACACACCACUAAAACCACCAGCAGCAGCAGUAGCACUCCUGCUACAUGAUUCCUCUCCUACAUAUGCACAUGCAUACACCACUAGAACCACCACCACCACCAGCACUCCUGCUGAGGCUGCUGAAUUUGUUACUGCAGCAACAACAAGCAGCACUUCCCCUUUAAAAGUGAUGUUUCUGUUUUACAACUGUUUCUUUACAUUUCCCAGCAAUCUGUUACAACUGCUGACUAUUAGUGUCUUUAUUAUAUAUUUGUUUUGCUUUCUGUAGGUAGACCUCAAAGAGGUGGCAGCGAAAAGACAUUCUGCAAUGUGACCACGACCACCACCGGUCCAACUCUUCCUGUGUGGAAUUGAAAACUUCAUGCCCAAGAACCGUCCAUGCAUGCUGCAAGCUGACAGAUGUACAGUAAUGCAGAAGUUUAGAACCAUAUCUAACAAGAGACUACACUAGUGGGAAGGUUGAAUCUCUGUUUGCUCUGUGUCAGGUGGCUCUCAAAAGCACAUGUGUUCUCUUUGGUGAAACAACUUAUCAGUACAUUAAGGUAAUCAAAAGAGGUCCAUUGUAUAUCAAGACACAGAAAAGUGCUGCAAGCUGACAGAUGUACAGUAAUGCAGAAGUUUAGAACCAUAUCUAACAAGAGACUACACUAGUGGGAAGGUUGAAUCUCUGUUUGCUCUGUGUCAGGUGGCUCUCAAAAGCACAUGUGUUCUCUUUGGUGAAACAACUUAUCAGUACAUUAAGGUAAUCAAAAGAGGUCCAUUGUAUAUCAAGACACAGAAAAGAGGAUUUGCACUUAUCAGUACAUUAAGGUAAUCAAAAGAAGUCCAUUGUAUAUCAAGACACUUACGGCCAGCAGAAAAAAGGAUUUUCUCAGUAGUGGCACCCUGAAUGUGGUGUGCCUUUUGCAGGAAGUGCAACUGAAGCCAACACUGUCUUACUUUUGAUUUACACACACAUUGUAUUUUUCUUUUUCUACACACAUGGUAUUUUUUAAAGUUGUACACAUAUGUUCAAUAUUACUUUUUAUAUUUUUAUUUGAGGUUAUUUUGCAGUAUUAAAUUUUUACUUUUUGUAUAAUACAGCUCUGAAAUCAUACUUUGCGUUAUGGUGUGGUACUUGCAUGUUAAAAAUAAAAUAAAAAGAUUAUCGUUCUGUUUUGUUUCA